UUGUUCUUUAAAUUAUGGUCUCUUAUCAUAUUAUUUUUUUUUAGUUUUAUAUAUUUUUGAAAGAUUUUUAAUAUUUAAUUGAUGAAACCCUACUUUUUUUAUAACCUAGAAAGUAGAAACCCUGCUUUUUCCUCUCCCCAGCCGUUUUCCUCAUAUUCACCCUAUCUUCAAAAUUCACCACUUCUCUUUAAAAAUAAAAACUGAAUUUUCUCUUUUUAGUUGAAAAAGAGAUAAUUCAUAUAACAAUGGUGACUAACUAUUACAAUGGUCUCACCUUCCAUUUCUUUCAAGUCGAUUACGCUCGUAGUCGUUUGUAAGGAUAAUGAUUCCGUCAAUGUCCGCGAUACAACACCGUAGUUCUUGGGUUUGAAAUGAAUUGAUCUGCCGCUAAACUUAAAGAUCCCAGAUUUGCAGGAAGCGGAAAUGGGCUAAGUUGAGAGCUCAUAUAAAUUACAAUGUGUGACUUUAGCUAAGAAAAUGGUUCAGAUUCAUAUUGUAUUUGUAUAUAUUUUUUUUAAUUUAUUAGUAGAUUCAUAUGUCAUGUAACAUCAUUAUUGAUUUUGUAAUAUUAAUAUACAAGUACAAAUGUAAAUGAUAUAGAUUAUUGUUUUUAUCAAUGGAUUGGACAGUGGUUAAUUUUAAA
Long non-coding RNA from Chenopodium quinoa (quinoa), 643 nucleotides. RefSeq lists it as uncharacterized. The transcript is spliced from 2 exons. The record is from RefSeq and is a predicted model, not a curated record. NCBI's taxonomy places the organism in Eukaryota, Viridiplantae, Streptophyta, Magnoliopsida, Caryophyllales, Amaranthaceae.